CUCUAGCUGACAAAUCCCAAGUAGGACGAAACGCGCGUCAUGGAU
Schistosoma mansoni is the source of this 45-nucleotide non-coding RNA. The record is from Rfam. Lineage: Eukaryota; Metazoa; Platyhelminthes; Trematoda; Strigeidida; Schistosomatidae.